CCCCCCCCCCCCCCCCCCCCGGGGGCCGCCAACGGCUAUAGGUAGCACCGAUAAGGCCGCAGAGCCUGUCGAAGCCCAAUGAAUCCUUCCCCUCGCGCCCCAAGAGGGAAGAGACCCGCGGGAAAAGCCUGAGAGGGAAGAUUUUAGAAAGAGCGACUUGGGUCUGUGCAGGACCACAGAAAUGGCAAUGAAGGAAUCUGCUUUUUCACAUUCUCCGAGGACAACUUUUCACGACUUUCCAUCCUAAGCUGAGAAGCCUGUUUUAGUCCAGUAAAACACAGCUUUGGCAAGAUUUUUAAGCAAAUAGUCUAACAUCUUCAGUGCCUGCGAGGACAUUAUGACACAAGACAACCAGAAUGCUGCCUGACCUUUGGGAGUCUGUGCUUCAUGAGGGAAUCUGGGAAGGAAAAGGAUAAUGGAGAAGACAUUUCAAUUUUACCUCUGACCCUCAGAACAUUUCUGCUGGAGAUGUCUAGGUGAAAAGAGAUCUCAGUUCCUAAGUCCAGGUAUAUAACCAGUUUGCAAAGCAUCUCAGGAACCCCAAGUCCUGUAAGUGAAGUUCUCCUUUGCUAGGGUAUACACACCUUGGUGGCAAGCCUUCCCUGUAAAUCCCGGAAAACACUUGCAUUUGUUGGGUCCCACACAUUCACCAUGCUUACACGCAGGUUCACAAAUGGCUGUUGAGAGAAGAAACGUGAUGGAGAUUCUGUGAAAUUGGAGAAAAUGUGUGGGUCUUAAGACAAAACUAUGAAACAUAUUCUCAGGGCACAACAAAACCUUUGAUCCCAUGACUCAAAAGGCACGUUCGUUUCCAUUCAAUCAUUCAGUCGUAUAUACCGACUGCUUACUGUGUGCAAAACACUGUACUAAGCACUUGGGAGAGUACAAUAAUAAUAAGCAGACACAUUUCCUGGCCAAAACGAACUUAUCGUGUGCCUGAUGUCCGUAUCACCUGUUCAGGAACACAAAGCUAACAUUUGGGCUCUUUUUUUACCACAUUAUCUCUCUUAGGUGCUCACUCUUACUUUAGUUUGGCCAGAGUACUAAAUUUAAGAGAAAAUGCAGUCAGCCUAUGCUUUAAACCCCAAAUAUGUACUAAAGUAAAAUAAAAUGAUCAUUUUAGUAUUAUC
Ornithorhynchus anatinus (platypus) is the source of this 1130-nucleotide long non-coding RNA. RefSeq lists it as uncharacterized. The transcript has 4 exons. The record is from RefSeq and is a predicted model, not a curated record. NCBI's taxonomy places the organism in Eukaryota, Metazoa, Chordata, Mammalia, Monotremata, Ornithorhynchidae.